ACUGCGGUCUAGUUAUAAGCAAUUAUACCGUGAAACUGCGAAUGGCUCAUUAAAUCAGUUAUCGUUUAUUUGAUAAUACCUUACUACUUGGAUAACCGUGGUAAUUCUAGAGCUAAUACAUGCUGAAAAUCCCGACUUCGGAAGGGAUGUGUUUAUUAGAUAAAAAACCAAUGCCCUUCGGGGCUCUUUGGUGAUUCAUGAUAACUUUACGGAUCGCAUAGCCUUGCGCUGGCGACGGUUCAUUCAAAUUUCUGCCCUAUCAACUUUCGAUGGUAAGGUAUUGGCUUACCAUGGUUUCAACGGGUAACGGGGAAUUAGGGUUCGAUUCCGGAGAGGGAGCCUGAGAAACGGCUACCACAUCCAAGGAAGGCAGCAGGCGCGCAAAUUACCCAAUCCCGACACGGGGAGGUAGUGACAAUAAAUACUGAUACAGGGCUCUUUUGGGUCUUGUAAUUGGAAUGAGUACAAUUUAAACCUCUUAACGAGGAACAAUUGGAGGGCAAGUCUGGUGCCAGCAGCCGCGGUAAUUCCAGCUCCAAUAGCGUAUAUUAAAGUUGUUGCAGUUAAAAAGCUCGUAGUUGAAACUUGGGCCUGGCUGGCGGGUCCGCCUCACCGCGUGCACUCGUCCGGCCGGGCCUUCCUUCUGAAGAACCUCAUGCCCUUCACUGGGCGUGUUGGGGAAUCAGGACUUUUACUUUGAAAAAAUUAGAGUGUUCAAAGCAGGCCUUUGCUCGAAUACGUUAGCAUGGAAUAAUAAAAUAGGGCGUGCGUUUCUAUUUUGUUGGUUUCUAGAGACGCCGCAAUGAUUAACAGGAACAGUCGGGGGCAUCAGUAUUCAGUUGUCAGAGGUGAAAUUCUUGGAUUUACUGAAGACUAACUACUGCGAAAGCAUUUGCCAAGGAUGUUUUCAUUAAUCAGUGAACGAAAGUUAGGGGAUCGAAGACGAUCAGAUACCGUCGUAGUCUUAACCGUAAACUAUGCCGACUAGGGAUCGGGCGAUGUUCUUUUUCUGACUCGCUCGGCACCUUACAGAAAAUCAAAGUUUUUGGGUUCUGGGGGGAUUUUGGUCCCAGGCUGAACCUUAAGAAAUUGACGGAAGGCACCACCAGGGGGGGAACCUGCGGUUAUGUUGCCCCACCCGGGGAACUCCCCGGGCCCAAAAAAAAAGGAUUAAAAAAUGAAAACUUUUUUGUUUUUUUGGAGGGGGGGUGGGGGGCCUUUAAACAGGGGGAAACUCCCCCCUUUAUAAUAAAUAAA
RNAcentral lists this ribosomal RNA (1257 nucleotides) under Curvularia lunata. Its description in RNAcentral is "partial small subunit ribosomal RNA". It matches the Rfam family "Eukaryotic small subunit ribosomal RNA", at positions 51 to 1363 of the family's 1831-position model. Lineage: Eukaryota; Fungi; Ascomycota; Dothideomycetes; Pleosporales; Pleosporaceae. The record is from RNAcentral.